This 253-nucleotide ribosomal RNA is filed under the name uncultured bacterium. RNAcentral's name for it is "partial 16S ribosomal RNA". It matches the Rfam family "Bacterial small subunit ribosomal RNA", at positions 524 to 776 of the family's 1533-position model. The record is from RNAcentral.
UACGAAGGGGGCUAGCGUUGUUCGGAAUUACUGGGCGUAAAGCGCGCGCAGGCGGUCUUCCAAGUCAGUGGUGAAAGCCCGGAGCUCAACUCCGGAACUGCCAUUGAAACUGUUGGACUUGAGUACGAGAGAGGUGAGUGGAAUUCUCGGUGUAGCAGUGAAAUGCGUAGAUAUCGAGAGGAACACCAGUGGCGAAGGCGAGUCUCUGGACAUUUCCUGACGCUGAGGCACGAAAGCCAGGGGAGCAAACGGG